Molecule: ribosomal RNA, 465 nt
Filed under: Vreelandella stevensii
Lineage: Bacteria; Pseudomonadati; Pseudomonadota; Gammaproteobacteria; Oceanospirillales; Halomonadaceae
Description: partial 16S ribosomal RNA
Rfam family: Bacterial small subunit ribosomal RNA
Source: RNAcentral
CCUACGGGGGGCUGCAGUGGGGAAUAUUGGACAAUGGGGGCAACCCUGAUCCAGCCAUGCCGCGUGUGUGAAGAAGGCCCUCGGGUUGUAAAGCACUUUCAGUGAGGAAGAACGCCUGGUGGUUAAUACCCAUCAGGAAAGACAUCACUCACAGAAGAAGCACCGGCUAACUCCGUGCCAGCAGCCGCGGUAAUACGGAGGGUGCGAGCGUUAAUCGGAAUUACUGGGCGUAAAGCGCGCGUAGGUGGCUUGAUAAGCCGGUUGUGAAAGCCCCGGGCUCAACCUGGGAACGGCAUCCGGAACUGUCAAGCUAGAGUGCAGGAGAGGAAGGUAGAAUUCCCGGUGUAGCGGUGAAAUGCGUAGAGAUCGGGAGGAAUACCAGUGGCGAAGGCGGCCUUCUGGACUGACACUGACACUGAGGUGCGAACGCGUGGGUAGCAAACAGGAUUAGAUACCCGAGUAGUC